GCCAAAGCCAGCUACAGAUUGGCACCGAGUUGCACUUGUUGUCACGCUCCCUCCCCAUGGAUCACAUUUGCUCCAAGAUGUUCUGGGUAUUUCCCGUCUCAGUUUCUGCUUUCCACUGUGGGUUGCCUCCCCCUGGAAUGAGUUGUUAACACUCCAGUCUCUACGGACGCCGCAAACAAAGCAGGGACAUUUUGCUUGGCUCCAGCAAGAGGCAAAUCUGACCCAAAGCUAGACUGGGAGCUGAAGACCUUACUUUGUUGUAAAACCAGCUUUUCAAGUUUGGAUUCAGAUCUUCAGCCUACAGGCAGACUUGUCCCAGCUGCAAUGUCAUCCUGGCACCUGGUGCAACACAUUGCUACUCAUCCAGAACAGCCAAAACAGUCAGACAGGAGGAAAAAGGCAACGGUGGAUCUUGGGAUUUGAAGGCUUGGAUUCAUUUAAAAGAGACAUAAAUAAAAUAUUGCAGCCAUAACCA
RNAcentral lists this long non-coding RNA (475 nucleotides) under Junco hyemalis (dark-eyed junco). Its description in RNAcentral is "lncRNA (ENSJHYG00000015206.1)". The record is from RNAcentral. Lineage: Eukaryota; Metazoa; Chordata; Aves; Passeriformes; Passerellidae.